AUGAGCAGCCAUCAAUGAAAUUUAAUGGAGAAGGUGGCGAUGCGUCAAAGUAAGCUGGUCCACUUCCUGUUGCGCACAGGAAACUCGCCUCUUAGCAGACGCGGAUAGGAUAAAAUUACCAAGACCGAGUAAAAGAAAGGAAACCAUCCACAAAUCAAGCAAAAGUUCUUAUUUUUACAAACUCUGUCGAGUUUUUUCUCAGCUUCUGUCUCCGAUCUAUAUAAAGAGAGAAUUCUGUUCUCAGAACAGCCUACUCCGCCCUCGUUCGUCCGCUCGCUGUCACUGUAAGUCGGAGUUACUAUUAAAGAAAGGAGGAGGAAGAGAAGAUGUAUCCGCCGGGCGCCCAGGAGAUGUCUUACUUCGACCACGUGCAGCGUCGGCAUGAGGAAAAGGGCUGCCUUUAUGCUUGCUUGUUUUGUCUGUGUUGCUGCUUCUGCUGUUAUGAGACCUGUGAGUGCUGCCUUGAUUGCCUUUGCUGCUGCUGUUCCGAGUAGAAUUCAGCAGAAGAAACAGGGGAAAAUGGCCGCAGAGCCUUACCUUCUUCAGAAUAAUGCUUGCAGUUUAUUAAACUUUACAUGACAGUUUUUGUUUAGAACUUUUGGUUAUGUUCUUAAUUAGCUUAUUGGAGGGAUUAAUUCACUUUAAUUGUCCUCCAUCUUUUAUUUGUUGCCAUCUUUAAUAAGAAAACUAGUUGUUUUUGCUACCA
Long non-coding RNA from Dendrobium catenatum, 706 nucleotides. RefSeq lists it as uncharacterized. The record is from RefSeq and is a predicted model, not a curated record. NCBI's taxonomy places the organism in Eukaryota, Viridiplantae, Streptophyta, Magnoliopsida, Asparagales, Orchidaceae. The transcript has 2 exons.